This 294-nucleotide unclassified non-coding RNA is filed under the name Hevea brasiliensis (rubber tree). The record is from RNAcentral. Lineage: Eukaryota; Viridiplantae; Streptophyta; Magnoliopsida; Malpighiales; Euphorbiaceae.
ACUUUUCUUUCGAUCAACCACAAAUUGAUUUUGAUGAAGCAACUGAACAACCCAAAGAUGAGAAAGAUGCUCUGCCCAAGUAGUACUGUAUACCAAGAUAUCGUCGAAAAAGACGAGAACAAAACAACACAAGUAUGGCUAGAACAAAUAAUUCAUCAUUGCCUGAAAAGUAUCUGGGGCAUUUGUCAGCUCAAAGGCAUGACGAUAAACUCAUAAUGCCCGGAAUGUGUGCGAAAGGCUGUCUACGGAAUAUCUUCAUCUCGAACUCGAAUAUGAUGGUGACUCGAGCGUAAA